GAUGAACGCUGGCGGCGUGCCUAAUACAUGCAAGUCGAGCGAACAGACGAGGAGCUUGCUCCUCUGACGUUAGCGGCGGACGGGUGAGUAACACGUGGAUAACCUACCUAUAAGACUGGGAUAACUUCGGGAAACCGGAGCUAAUACCGGAUAAUAUAUUGAACCGCAUGGUUCAAUAGUGAAAGACGGUUUUGCUGUCACUUAUAGAUGGAUCCGCGCCGCAUUAGCUAGUUGGUAAGGUAACGGCUUACCAAGGCGACGAUGCGUAGCCGACCUGAGAGAGUGAUCGGCCACACUGGAACUGAGACACGGUCCAGACUCCUACGGGAGGCAGCAGUAGGGAAUCUUCCGCAAUGGGCGAAAGCCUGACGGAGCAACGCCGCGUGAGUGAUGAAGGUCUUCGGAUCGUAAAACUCUGUUAUUAGGGAAGAACAAAUGUGUAAGUAACGAUGCACGUCUUGACGGUACCUAAUCAGAAAGCCACGGCUAACUACGU
RNAcentral lists this ribosomal RNA (496 nucleotides) under uncultured bacterium. RNAcentral describes it as "partial 16S ribosomal RNA". It matches the Rfam family "Bacterial small subunit ribosomal RNA", at positions 28 to 506 of the family's 1533-position model. The record is from RNAcentral.